Molecule: unclassified non-coding RNA, 339 nt
Filed under: soil metagenome
Description: partial contains 5.8S ribosomal RNA, internal transcribed spacer 2, and large subunit ribosomal RNA
Rfam family: 5.8S ribosomal RNA (bases 1-120)
Source: RNAcentral
GAUGAAGAACGCAGCGAAAUGCGAUACGUAGUGUGAAUUGCAGAAUUCAGUGAAUCAUCGAAUCUUUGAACGCACAUUGCACCUCUCGGUAUUCCGGGAGGUAUGCCUGUUCGAGCGUCAUUUGUACCCUCAAGCUCUGCUUGGUGUUGGGUGUUUGUUCCGCCUCUGUGUGUGAACUCGCCUCAAAACAAUUGGCAGCCGGCGUACUUGUUUCGGAGUGCAGCACAUUUUGCGAUCCAGAUCAACGUACAGCGGCAUCCAAGAAGCCUUAUUUAACGCUCUUGACCUCGGAUCAGGUAGGGAUACCCGCUGAACUUAAGCAUAUCAAUAAGCGGAGGA